AACUUUUAGCAACGUGUCUCUUGGUUCUGGCGUCGGUUAAGAACGCAGCGAAAUGCGAUAAGUAAUGUGAAUUGCAGAAUUCAGUGAAUCAUCGAAUCUUUGAACGCACAUUGCGCCCCUUGGUAUUCCGAGGGGCAUACCUGUUCGAGCGUCAUUACAACACUCAAGCCUAGCUUGGUAUUGGGCUCCGCUGCUUACCCAGCGCGCCUUAAAAUUAGUGGCGGUGCCGUCGGGCUCCUGAGCGCAGUAAAAACCUCGCUAUAGGGACCGGUGAACAUUUGCCAGAAACCCCAACUCUUUUAGUUUGACCUCGGAUCAGGUAGGGCUACCCGCUGAACUUAAGCAUAUCAAUAAGCGGAGGCU
Molecule: unclassified non-coding RNA, 363 nt
Filed under: uncultured Helotiales
Lineage: Eukaryota; Fungi; Ascomycota; Leotiomycetes; Helotiales
Description: sequence contains ITS2
Rfam family: 5.8S ribosomal RNA (bases 1-154)
Source: RNAcentral